This 707-nucleotide ribosomal RNA is filed under the name uncultured Actinomycetes bacterium. Its description in RNAcentral is "bacterial SSU rRNA". It matches the Rfam family "Bacterial small subunit ribosomal RNA", at positions 32 to 751 of the family's 1533-position model. Lineage: Bacteria; Bacillati; Actinomycetota; Actinomycetes. The record is from RNAcentral.
AACGCUGGCGGCGUGCUUAACACAUGCAAGUCGAACGAUGAAGCUUAGCUUGCUAGGUGGAUUAGUGGCGAACGGGUGAGUAACACGUAGGUAAUCUGCCCUGCACUUUGGGAUAAGCCUGGGAAACUGGGUCUAAUACCGAAUAGGACAUGUCAUCUUUGGGUGGUGUGUGGAAAGCUUUUGCGGUGUGGGAUGAGCCUGCGGCCUAUCAGCUUGUUGGUGGGGUAAUGGCCUACCAAGGCGUCGACGGGUAGCCGGCCUGAGAGGGUGUACGGCCACAUUGGGACUGAGACACGGCCCAGACUCCUACGGGAGGCAGCAGUGGGGAAUAUUGCACAAUGGGCGAAAGCCUGAUGCAGCGACGCCGCGUGGGGGAUGAAGGCCUUCGGGUUGUAAACUCCUUUCGCUAGGGACGAAGAGAAAUUGACGGUACCUGGAGAAGAAGCACCGGCUAACUACGUGCCAGCAGCCGCGGUAAUACGUAGGGUGCGAGCGUUGUCCGGAAUUACUGGGCGUAAAGAGCUCGUAGGUGGUUUGUCGCGUCGUCUGUGAAAUCCCGGGGCUUAACUCCGGGCGUGCAGGCGAUACGGGCAUAACUUGAGUGCUGUAGGGGAGACUGGAAUUCCUGGUGUAGCGGUGAAAUGCGCAGAUAUCAGGAGGAACACCAAUGGCGAAGGCAGGUCUCUGGGCAGUAACUGACGCUGAGG